AAGAGUUAGGGUCUUCUAGGCCCGACCUCCCACCCCUUUGUUUAUUGAACCUCUGUUGCUUCGGCGGACCCGUCUCACGACCGCCGGAGGAUCGCUGAAAGGCGUCCUCUGGCCCGUGUCGGCCGAUGGCCAACCCCUCAAAACUCUGAAUAAAUCGUGUCAUAUGUCUCAGUCUAUGAUUAAAUUAAAAGCA
RNAcentral lists this unclassified non-coding RNA (193 nucleotides) under uncultured Chaetothyriales. Its description in RNAcentral is "sequence contains ITS1". The record is from RNAcentral. Lineage: Eukaryota; Fungi; Ascomycota; Eurotiomycetes; Chaetothyriales.